GGAGAGAUCACUAGUGAGAAUGAUGACAUGAGUAGCGACAAACAGGGUGAGAGACCCUGUCGCCGAAAGUCCAAGGGUUCCUGCUUAAAGCUAAUCUGAGCAGGGUAAGCCGACCCCUAAGGCGAGGCCGAAAGGCGUAGUCGAUGGGAAUGCAGUGAAUAUUCUGCAGCCAGUGGAUGGUGACGAAUCCCGUAUGUUGUCCGACCUUAAUGGAUUGGUUGGGCCUCGAAGGGGUUCCAGGAAAUAGCCUCCACAUCAGAUCGUACCCGAAACCGACACAGGUGGACUGGUUGAGAAUACCAAGGCGCUUGAGAGAACUAUGCUGAAGGAACUCGGCAA
RNAcentral lists this ribosomal RNA (339 nucleotides) under Oxyrrhis marina. RNAcentral describes it as "partial Bacterial large subunit ribosomal RNA". It matches the Rfam family "Bacterial large subunit ribosomal RNA", at positions 1275 to 1720 of the family's 2925-position model. The record is from RNAcentral. Lineage: Eukaryota; Dinophyceae; Oxyrrhinales; Oxyrrhinaceae.